AGAACGACUCUCGGCAACGGAUAUCUCGGCUCUCGCAUCGAUGAAGAACGUAGCAAAAUGCGAUACUUGGUGUGAAUUGCAGAAUCCCGUGAACCAUCGAGUUUUUGAACGCAAGUUGCGCCCGAAGCCAAUAGGUUGAGGGCACGUCUGCCUGGGCUUCUCGC
RNAcentral lists this ribosomal RNA (164 nucleotides) under Impatiens tribounii. RNAcentral's name for it is "5.8S ribosomal RNA". It matches the Rfam family "5.8S ribosomal RNA". Rfam says of the family: 5.8S ribosomal RNA (5.8S rRNA) is a component of the large subunit of the eukaryotic ribosome. It is transcribed by RNA polymerase I as part of the 45S precursor that also contains 18S and 28S rRNA. Lineage: Eukaryota; Viridiplantae; Streptophyta; Magnoliopsida; Ericales; Balsaminaceae. The record is from RNAcentral.